GGUCAGGUCCUAUGCGAUGAUGAGCGGGCGAAUCCCGCCAGGACCGGAAGGUAGCAACGGUAGUCGCGUUUCACAUGCGCCGUAGGUAGCCUGGCCACU
This 99-nucleotide signal recognition particle RNA is filed under the name Symploca sp. SIO2D2. Its description in RNAcentral is "signal recognition particle sRNA small type". It matches the Rfam family "Bacterial small signal recognition particle RNA". Rfam says of the family: The signal recognition particle (SRP) is a universally conserved ribonucleoprotein involved in the co-translational targeting of proteins to membranes. Archaeal SRP consists of a 7S RNA and homologues of the eukaryotic SRP19 and SRP54 proteins. Lineage: Bacteria; Bacillati; Cyanobacteriota; Cyanophyceae; Coleofasciculales; Coleofasciculaceae. The record is from RNAcentral.